GCGAGCGUAGCUCAGUGGUAGAGCCCCACCUUGCCAAGGUGACUGUCGUGAGUUCGAAUCUCAUCGCUCGCUCCA
This 75-nucleotide transfer RNA is filed under the name Kiritimatiellaceae bacterium TMED266. RNAcentral's name for it is "tRNA-Gly". It matches the Rfam family "tRNA". Rfam says of the family: Transfer RNA (tRNA) molecules are approximately 80 nucleotides in length. The record is from RNAcentral. Lineage: Bacteria; Pseudomonadati; Kiritimatiellota; Kiritimatiellia; Kiritimatiellales; Kiritimatiellaceae. RNAcentral also lists the same sequence under 8 other names.